Molecule: ribosomal RNA, 253 nt
Filed under: uncultured bacterium
Lineage: Bacteria
Description: partial 16S ribosomal RNA
Rfam family: Bacterial small subunit ribosomal RNA
Source: RNAcentral
UACGUAGGGUGCAAGCGUUGUCCGGAAUUAUUGGGCGUAAAGGGCGCGUAGGCGGCUUUGCAAGUGACGGGUGAAAUCCCUCGGCUUAACCGGGGAACUGCCUGUCAAACUGCAUGGCUUGAGACCGGGAGAGGUGAGUGGAAUUCCCAGUGUAGCGGUGAAAUGCGUAGAUAUUGGGAGGAACACCAGUGGCGAAGGCGGCUCACUGGACCGGUACUGACGCUGAGGCGCGAAAGCGUGGGUAGCAAACAGG